GACGAACGCUGGCGGCGUGCUUAACACAUGCAAGUCGAACGGAAAGGCCCUGCUUUUGUUGGGUGCUCGAGUGGCGAACGGGUGAGUAACACGUGAGUAACCUGCCCUUGACUUUGGGAUAACUUCAGGAAACUGGGGCUAAUACCGUAUAGGAGCUCCUGCUGCAUGGUGGGGGUUGGAAAGUUUCGGCGGUUGGGGAUGGACGCGCGGCUUAUCAGCUUGUUGGUGGGGUAGUUGCUUACCAAGGCUUUGACGGGUAGCCGGCCUGAGAGGGUGACCGGCAACAUUGGGACUGGGAUACGGCCCAGACUCCUACGGGAGGCAGCAGUGGGGAAUAUUGCACAAGGGGCGGAAGCCGGAGGCAGCAACGCCGCGUGCGGGAUACCGGCCUUCGGGUUGUAACCCGCUUUAGCAUGUGACGAAGCGUGAGUGACGGUAAUGGGUAAAGAAGCACCGGCUAACUACGUG
This 468-nucleotide ribosomal RNA is filed under the name uncultured bacterium. Its description in RNAcentral is "partial 16S ribosomal RNA". It matches the Rfam family "Bacterial small subunit ribosomal RNA", at positions 28 to 507 of the family's 1533-position model. The record is from RNAcentral.